CCUACGGGAGGCUGCAGUAGGGAAUCUUCCACAAUGGACGAAAGUCUGAUGGAGCAACGCCGCGUGAGUGAAGAAGGGUUUCGGCUCGUAAAGCUCUGUUGGUAGCGAAGAACGAUAGAGGUAGUAACUGGCCUUUAUUUGACGGUAAUUACUUAGAAAGUCACGGCUAACUACGUGCCAGCAGCCGCGGUAAUACGUAGGUGGCAAGCGUUGUCCGGAUUUAUUGGGCGUAAAGCGGGCGCAGGCGGUACAAUAAGUCUGAUGGGAAAGCCUUCGGCUCAACCGGAGAAAUGCAUCAGAAACUGUUGAACGUGAGUGCAGAAGAGGAGAGUGGAACUCCAUGUGUAGCGGUGGAAUGCGUAGAUAUAUGGAAGAACACCAGUGGCGAAGGCGGCUGUCUGGUCUGCAACUGACGCUGAGGCACGAAAGCAUGGGUAGCGAACAGGAUUAGAUACCCGAGUAGUC
This 465-nucleotide ribosomal RNA is filed under the name uncultured bacterium. RNAcentral describes it as "partial 16S ribosomal RNA". It matches the Rfam family "Bacterial small subunit ribosomal RNA", at positions 338 to 795 of the family's 1533-position model. The record is from RNAcentral.